AAUUCGAUUGAGUUUGAUCAUGGCUCAGGAUGAACGCUGGCGGUCUGCUUAACACAUGCAAGUCGAACGGAACUCUUCGGAGUUUAGUGGCGGACGGGUGAGUAACGCGUGAGAAUCUGCCCUUAGGUUGGGGACAACAGCUGGAAACGGCUGCUAAUACCCAAUGUGCCGAGAGGUAAAAGCUUAAUGUGCCUGAGGAUGAGUUCGCGUCUGAUUAGCUAGUUGGAGUGGUAACGGCACACCAAGGCGACGAUCAGUAGCUGGUCUGAGAGGACGAUCAGCCACACUGGGACUGAGACACGGCCCAGACUCCUACGGGAGGCAGCAGUGGGGAAUUUUCCGCAAUGGGCGCAAGCCUGACGGAGCAAGACCGCGUGGGGGAAGAAGGUUUGUGGAUUGUAAACCCCUUUUGAUUGGGAAGAACACAAUGACGGUACCAAUCGAAUCAGCAUCGGCUAACUCCGUGCCAGCAGCCGCGGUAAUACGGAGGAUGCAAGCGUUAUCCGGAAUUAUUGGGCGUAAAGCGUCCGUAGGUGGCAUUGCAAGUCAGUUGUUAAAGCGCGGGGCUUAACCCCGUAAAGGCAAUUGAAACUGCGAAGCUAGAGUGCGAUAGGGGCAAGGGGAAUUCCCAGUGUAGCGGUGAAAUGCGUAGAUAUUGGGAAGAACACCAGCGGCGAAAGCGCGUGACUGGGCCUGAACUGACACUCAUGG
RNAcentral lists this ribosomal RNA (711 nucleotides) under uncultured bacterium. RNAcentral's name for it is "bacterial SSU rRNA". It matches the Rfam family "Bacterial small subunit ribosomal RNA", at positions 1 to 752 of the family's 1533-position model. The record is from RNAcentral.